RNAcentral lists this ribosomal RNA (468 nucleotides) under uncultured bacterium. RNAcentral's name for it is "partial 16S ribosomal RNA". It matches the Rfam family "Bacterial small subunit ribosomal RNA", at positions 28 to 507 of the family's 1533-position model. The record is from RNAcentral.
GACGAACGCUGGCGGCGUGCUUAACACAUGCAAGUCGAACGGAAAGGCCCUGCUUUUGUGGGGUGCUCGAGUGGCGAACGGGUGAGUAACACGUGAGUAACCUGCCCUUGACUUUGGGAUAACUUCAGGAAACUGGGGCUAAUACCGGAUAGGAGCUCCUGCUGCAUGGUGGGGGUUGGAAAGUUUCGGCGGUUGGGGAUGGACUCGCGGCUUAUCAGCUUGUUGGUGGGGUAGUGGCUUACCAAGGCUUUGACGGGUAGCCGGCCUGAGAGGGUGACCGGCCACAUUGGGACUGAGAUACGGCCCAGACUCCUACGGGAGGCAGCAGUGGGGAAUAUUGCACAAUGGGCGGAAGCCUGGUGCAGCAACGCCGCGUGCGGGAUGACGGCCUUCGGGUUGUAAACCGCUUUCGCCUGUGACGAAGCGUGAGUGGCGGUAAUGGGUAAAGAAGCACCGGCUAACUACGUG